Molecule: non-coding RNA, 87 nt
Filed under: Pseudomonas psychrophila
Lineage: Bacteria; Pseudomonadati; Pseudomonadota; Gammaproteobacteria; Pseudomonadales; Pseudomonadaceae
Source: RNAcentral
CGUGGGAGCGGGCUUGCUCGCGAGGGUGUCGACACGGUUUCACAUGCAGACCGCGUCGUUCGCAUCGCGAGCAAGCCCGCUCCCACA